AUGAGCAAAGCUCUAAGCCCUCGAUACCAAGGCCUCUCGACCUACGAGAAGGAGUAUCUGGCAGUUAUUGUGGCCGUGGACCAGUGGCGCCCUUACCUCCAACACGCAGAAUUCACCAUCCUUACAGACCAGCGUAGCUUGACGCACUUGACAGAGCAGAGGCUGUCGACACCAUGGCAGCAACGACCUUUCACUAAACUGUUGGGGCUCCGAUACAUCAUCAAGUACAAAAAAGGAGCCGAGAACACAGCAGUGGACGCCCUUUCCAGAGCAAAAACAUCUGAAGUACUACUCACAAUCAGCGUAUGCCAACCAGCAUGGCUUGAAGAUAUUGUCGCCAGCUACAACAAUAACCCACGGGCGCAAAAACUCCUCGAGCAGCUGGCUGUUAGGGAGGACCCAGAAGGAAGAUUCCAACACCAGAACGGACUGCUUCGCUUCCGUGGCCGAAUCUGGCUGGGAGGAACCACAGCUAUGCAACAACACAUCAUCGCGGCCUUCCACGACAGCCCGAUGGGUGGCCACUCCGGCUUCCCAGUGACAUAUCGCCGCAUUCGCGGGUUGUUUGCUUGGCCCAAGAUGAAGGCACACAUACAACAAUAUUUGUGGUGCUGCCAGGUCUGUCAAUAG
This 630-nucleotide ribosomal RNA is filed under the name Triticum aestivum (bread wheat). Its description in RNAcentral is "partial small subunit ribosomal RNA". The record is from RNAcentral. Lineage: Eukaryota; Viridiplantae; Streptophyta; Magnoliopsida; Poales; Poaceae.